GAUGAACGCUGGCGGCGUGCCUAAUACAUGCAAGUCGAGCGAACGGACGAUAAGCUUUCUUCUCUGAUGUUAGCGGCGGACGGGUGAGUAACACGUGGAUAACCUACCUAUAAGACUGGGAUAACUUCGGGAAACCGGAGCUAAUACCGGAUAAUAUUUUGAACCGCAUGGUUCAAAAGUGAAAGACGGUCUUGCUGUCACUUAUAGAUGGAUCCGCGCUGCAUUAGCUAGUUGGUAAGGUAACGGCUUACCAAGGCAACGAUGCAUAGCCGACCUGAGAGGGUGAUCGGCCACACUGGAACUGAGACACGGUCCAGACUCCUACGGGAGGCAGCAGUAGGGAAUAUUCCGCAAUGGGCGAAAGCCUGACGGAGCAACGCCGCGUGAGUGAUGAAGGUCUUCGGAUCGUAAAACUCUGUUAUUAGGGAAGAACAUAUGUGUAAGUAACUGUGCACAUCUUGACGGUACCUAAUCAGAAAGCCACGGCUAACUACGUG
RNAcentral lists this ribosomal RNA (497 nucleotides) under uncultured bacterium. RNAcentral describes it as "partial 16S ribosomal RNA". It matches the Rfam family "Bacterial small subunit ribosomal RNA", at positions 28 to 507 of the family's 1533-position model. The record is from RNAcentral.